Molecule: long non-coding RNA, 723 nt
Organism: Diabrotica virgifera virgifera (western corn rootworm)
Lineage: Eukaryota; Metazoa; Arthropoda; Insecta; Coleoptera; Chrysomelidae
Exons: 3
Source: RefSeq, a predicted model, not a curated record
CCGGUCUUUUCACCUCCGAAUAAAUAUGCUCUUAUCUGGCAGUUAGCUAUCUGGAGGAUAAAUAUUUAUUCGCCAGAUAAAAAGUACCCGUCUUUUCACGUCAAUUUAUGUUCCAGUUAGUUAUCCGGUAGAUAAGCUUAAAAGUAAGUUUGGAUUCCGAACACACCUGACUUUUAUGUUUAUUUUUAUAAUUUCAGCUUUAACUUAACCUAACAUAAUUAGAUUCAAAGUAUUUCAAAGAUGAUUUUAUCGAUUUUAUUUCCAUUUUGGAAGAAGGAAUGAAGGAAAUAAGGAAAACAUUGAUUAUGCUGAAAUAGUUUACUGGAGAGCUUGAACAAGAGGUAAAUCCAUUUUAAAUUAGAGGAAAACUGUUGAUUUGUAUGUAAAAUAGAAGACAAAGACAAGUUUAAAUAAAGACAAGCUAGCUAAUGAAACAGAUGCAGUGAUAUGACAAACACCUAGAAGAUGGAAUCCUGUGUUCUCAAAGAAAAAGCUAGUUCCAGAAAUAAGCUACCAAUAAUAAACUAGAGAAUGUAUUACAAGAAAGAACAACGCUAAUACCCAACAUAGCUCAAUUGCUUCAGAUAGAAAAAGAGGAGGAAAGGGUAGAACACAAGCGUGCCAGAGAAAAAUAAAGGGCAGAAGAGACACAAAAAUUCAUUGAUUUAUUAAAUUUAAUAAUUAAAUUAUACAAAGGACAAUUAAAUAAAGAAUAAAAAAUUA